AAUAAGUUUUAUUCUUGCUUUUUCAUUAAUUAUUUGAAUAAAUUAUAUGUUUAUUAUUAAGAAUAUAAAUUUAAACAGUAAUUAGUAUUAAAAUUUAAUUUUAUUAUUUAAUUAGGAAUUCAUUAUUAAAAUUGAUUAAUUUUGUGCCAGCAUUCGCGGUUAUACAACGAAUUUGUGUUAAUGUUUUUAGUAUUUAAAUUAAUAUUUAAUUUUGAAUUAAAUUUGUGAUAUUUAGGUGGAAUUUAUAUAGUAAUUAUGUUUGUUCUAAUUAUUAUUUAUUUUUUAAAGUUUUAUUUUUUAAACUAGGAUUAGAUACCCUAUUAUAAAUUAUUAAUAUUUUACUUGAUUAUUAUUAGUUAUGUUCUUUAAAAUUCAAAGAAUUUGGCGGUAAAUUAUCUAUUUAGAGGAAUCUGUAAUUGUAAAUUGAUAAACCACGAUUGAAUUUACCUGUUAUUUAUAUUUGUAUAUCUCUAUAUUAAGGAAUGUUUUAUAAAGAAAAAUUUUCUUUAUUUUUAAAAAAAAUUAUGUUAGGUCAAGGUGCAGUUUUUUAUUGGUAAUUAUGGGUUAUUUUAAUUUUAAAUAUUUAUGUUUUCUCUUUUUUAUAAAAUGAAAUAUUUUAGGAUUUAAUAGUAAAUUUAAUUAAAUUGUUAUAUUGAACAUUUUAGUUCUAGUUUAUGUACAUAUCGCCCGUCACUCCCUUUAAUAUUGGGAUAAGUCGUAACAAAGUAAUUGUAUCGGAAGAUGUAGUUAGAAUU
This 755-nucleotide non-coding RNA is filed under the name Signoretia aureola. The record is from RNAcentral. Lineage: Eukaryota; Metazoa; Arthropoda; Insecta; Hemiptera; Cicadellidae.